This 253-nucleotide ribosomal RNA is filed under the name uncultured bacterium. Its description in RNAcentral is "partial 16S ribosomal RNA". It matches the Rfam family "Bacterial small subunit ribosomal RNA", at positions 524 to 776 of the family's 1533-position model. The record is from RNAcentral.
UACGUAGGGGGCAAGCGUUGUCCGGAAUCAUUGGGCGUAAAGAGCGUGUAGGCGGCCAGAAAAGUCCGCUGUGAAAACUCGAGGCUCAACUUCGAGCUGUCGGUGGAAACUUUCUGGCUAGAGUCCGGAAGAGGCGAGUGGAAUUCCUGGUGUAGCGGUGGAAUGCGCAGAUAUCAGGAGGAACACCAACGGCGAAGGCAGCUCGCUGGGACGGUACUGACACUGAGGCGCGAAAGCGUGGGGAGCAAACAGG